This is a long non-coding RNA of Bombus pyrosoma, 596 nucleotides long. RefSeq lists it as uncharacterized. Lineage: Eukaryota; Metazoa; Arthropoda; Insecta; Hymenoptera; Apidae. The record is from RefSeq and is a predicted model, not a curated record. The transcript has 2 exons.
GAAUGAAUUUAUUUGACAUUGUGAUAGAAAUAAAUAUUAUUUUUCAUGACGAUUGUUAUAUUAAAGCAAUGUGAUUAGAUCGAAAAUUAUUUUACCUCAGUUAUGUGAAGAAGAACUGGUUUUGGUCCAUUUGUACAUUCAAAAAGUUCACUUUUAAAGGCAUUAAUAUUGAACUCUAUUUUUUCAAAAAGAAAAUUUAGAGCCCAUGUUGCAAUCAGACUUCUCCAAAACAUUUUAAGAAUAUAGGAGACAUUUCAUCAUAAUGGAAUUUUAAUUGUAAAAGGUAAAGUGAGGACCAUAUAUGAAAAAACGACGUUAUGGUAAGACAUAAUUCGGGACUUAGUAUAUUAUCUGAUAAAACAGACAUUGCAGCCUUUUCUAUGGCACACAGACAGAAAAUGAUUGCGACUAAACGAAUAACAUGAUCUACUAAUUCUGUAGUAAUGUUGAUGGAUGAAAUAUUUUCUGAUGAAGCGAAGAAUUGUAAUGUAAGACUCAUAUCAACCUUUCCUUGUCUUAUCUAUGAAGGAGUACAUUAUUCUUUAUAAAGAUAUACAUAUAUUAUUAUAAAGCAGAAUUAUAAUUUAUGUCAUACA